Molecule: long non-coding RNA, 895 nt
Filed under: Olea europaea subsp. europaea
Lineage: Eukaryota; Viridiplantae; Streptophyta; Magnoliopsida; Lamiales; Oleaceae
Source: RNAcentral
CUUUUGGGCAGAUAAUAGGAGUAGGCAAGCAUACAAGGAGUUUGGGGAUGUGGUGACGUUCGAUACCACGUACCUAACUAAUAAGUAUAACAUGCCAUUUGCGCUGUUUGUUGGAGUUAAUCAUCAUGGGCAAUCAACACUCCUUGAUUGUGGUUUGUUGUCAAACGAAAAUACAGAAAUAUUUGUAUGGCUUUUCAAAACUUGGCUGUAGUGCAUGCAUGGACAAGUAUUCCUUGAAAUUAUUACCGAUCAGGACAGGGCCAUACAGAAUGCAAUUCAGAUCGUGUUCCCAAACACAAAACAUAGAUGGUGCUUGUGCCAUAUAUUGAAGAAGUUGUCAGAGAAGUUUGGCUACCACAUCGAUAAGGGUGAAAUAUUUUCUACUAUACAUGUACUGGGGUAUGAUACUGAAAAUGUUGAAGACUUUGAAGAAGGUUGGAGUACGAUGGUAGAGGAGUAUAACUUGCAUGACAAUGACUGGUUGUCUAGACUGUACUCUAACAGAGACUGUUAGGUACCUUGCUAUUUGAAAAAAAGUUUUGGAGCUAGAAUGUCAACCACUCAGCGCAGUGAGAGCAUGAAUGCAUUCUUUGACGGGUACGUGCCCUCUAAGAUAUCGCAGAAGCAAUUCGUCAAACAAUACGAACGAGCUUUGAGGAAUAAGGUAGAGAAAGAGUUUCAGGCAGAUAUCAAAUCUUACUCGCAAAUGGUUCCAUGCGUAACGAAAUACGAGCUAGAGAAGCAGUUUCAGCUAGUUUACACAAUUUCAAAGUUUAGGGAAGUUCAGGAUGAGUUCAUUGGGAAGAUCUAUUGCGAUCUCAUAUCUUCGUCAGAGGGCUUUUCAAGGACGAUGUAUGAGGUAUUGGAGGAUGUCAUACUUGACAAUCGAGUGAAG